This 398-nucleotide long non-coding RNA is filed under the name Trifolium pratense (red clover). Its description in RNAcentral is "long non-coding RNA (TPRA_LNC000546)". The record is from RNAcentral. Lineage: Eukaryota; Viridiplantae; Streptophyta; Magnoliopsida; Fabales; Fabaceae.
CCAAGAUUUAACUAUUGGAGUUGGUGGUGUAGUUGGAGCAACAGGAGUUGGUGGUUUCACAAUUGGUGGUGAUUGAUAAGGUGGUGAUUUCACUAGAGGUGGAGGGGUUGGUGGUUUCACAAUAGGUGGUGAUUGAUACGGUGGUGUUUUCACUAGAGGAGGAGAAGGUGGCUUCACAAUAGGUGGUGAUUGAUAUGGUGGUGGAGUUUUCACUAGAGGUGGAGAAGGUGGCUUCACAAUAGGUGGUGAUUGAUAAGGUGGAGUUUUAACUAGGGGUGGAGAAGGUUGCUUCACAAUAGGUGGUGAUUGAUAUGGUGGUGUUUUCACCAAUGGAGGAGAAGUAGGUGCCUUCACCAGCGAUGGAGGAGUUGGCGGUGCCUUUACCGGAAAAGGAGGUG